RNAcentral lists this small nuclear RNA (142 nucleotides) under Aotus nancymaae (Ma's night monkey). RNAcentral's name for it is "U4 spliceosomal RNA (ENSANAG00000010580.1)". It matches the Rfam family "U4 spliceosomal RNA". From Rfam's summary of the family: U4 small nuclear RNA (U4 snRNA) is a component of the major U2-dependent spliceosome. The structure of U4 snRNA from yeast and human has been reported. The record is from Rfam by way of RNAcentral. Lineage: Eukaryota; Metazoa; Chordata; Mammalia; Primates; Aotidae.
AGCUUUGUGCAGUGGCAGUAUCGUAGCCAAUGAGGUUUAUCCGAGGUGCGAUUAUUGCUAAUUUAAAACUUUUCCCAAUACCCUGCCAAUGACGACUUGCAAUAUAGUUGGCAUUGGCAAUUUUUGACAGUCUCUAUGGAGA